Molecule: ribosomal RNA, 253 nt
Filed under: uncultured bacterium
Lineage: Bacteria
Description: partial 16S ribosomal RNA
Rfam family: Bacterial small subunit ribosomal RNA
Source: RNAcentral
UACGUAGGGAGCAAGCGUUGUCCGGAAUCAUUGGGCGUAAAGCGCGCAUAGGCGGCCCUGUAAGUCCGUUGUGAAAGUCAAAGGCUCAACCUUUGAAAGCCGAUGGAUACUGCAGGGCUAGAGUCCGGAAGAGGCGAGUGGAAUUCCUGGUGUAGCGGUGGAAUGCGCAGAUAUCAGGAGGAACACCAAUAGCGAAGGCAGCUCGCUGGGACGGUACUGACGCUAAGGCGCGAAAGCGUGGGGAGCGAACAGG